This 571-nucleotide ribosomal RNA is filed under the name uncultured Glomeromycotina. RNAcentral describes it as "SSU rRNA". It matches the Rfam family "Eukaryotic small subunit ribosomal RNA", at positions 548 to 1114 of the family's 1831-position model. The record is from RNAcentral. Lineage: Eukaryota; Fungi; Glomeromycota.
UUGGAGGGCAAGUCUGGUGCCAGCAGCCGCGGUAAUUCCAGCUCCAAUAGCGUAUAUUAAAGUUGUUGCAGUUAAAAAGCUCGUAGUUGAAUUUCGGGAUUGACGUGAUGGUCAUGCCUUAAGGGGUAUGAACUGUUACUGUUGAUUUCUCACCUUCUGGAGAAACAUGAUGUCCUUUAUUGGGUGUCUUGCGGAUCCAGGACCUUUACCUUGAAAAAAUUAGAGUGUUUAAAGCAGGCAUUUUUGCUCGAAUACAUUAGCAUGGAAUAAUAGAAUAGGACGGCAUGGUUCUAUUUUGUUGGUUUCUAGGAUCACCGUAAUGAUUAAUAGGGAUAGUUGGGGGCAUUAGUAUUCAAUUGUCAGAGGUGAAAUUCUUGGAUUUAUUGGAGACUAACUACUGCGAAAGCAUUUGCCAAGGAUGUUUUCAUUAAUCAAGAACGAAAGUUAGGGGAUCGAAGACGACCAGAUACCGUCGUAGUCUUAACCAUAAACUAUGCCGACUAGGAAUCAGACGAUGUUAAUUUUUAAUGACUCGUUUGGCACCUUACGGGAAACCAAAGUGUUUGGGUUC